RNAcentral lists this transfer RNA (72 nucleotides) under Camelus bactrianus (Bactrian camel). It matches the Rfam family "tRNA". Rfam says of the family: Transfer RNA (tRNA) molecules are approximately 80 nucleotides in length. Lineage: Eukaryota; Metazoa; Chordata; Mammalia; Artiodactyla; Camelidae. The record is from Rfam by way of RNAcentral. RNAcentral also lists the same sequence under 2 other names.
GAGGAUAUAGCUCAGUGGUAGAAUACAUGCUUAGCAUGCACGAGGUCCUGGGUUCAAUCCCCAGUACCUCCU